CAACAACAGCAAAAAACAGCCACAAAAAGCUAAACGGAAAUCCAUUGAAAAGCAGCAGCGGCAGCCACAGCAGCAGCAGCACAAUUUUGUCGUUAAUCAAAUUGAAACUUUGCGUUAGGGUUUGAAUUUUCGUCUUAGUCUUUUGAAUUAUUUACGUUCGUCAGAGCAGGAGGAGCAGAAUGAAGAAUAAUUACUGAAACAAUCGACAAGAGUUAUACGAUUUUAGGCGUACCAAUUAGCAUAUAACUCAGAUAGAGUGACGGAGGGAUAAUGGAAGGGAAGCGAAUACGGAAUGGAGGACAGAGUGAUACGGAGCGAUAGAUAGGGCAGCUAUAAAGAUGAGUAGAGAGCGGGAGUGAGUGAGUGAGAGAGGCGCUGAGCAAUUUGUUUUUUUCGGCAGCAGCUAAGUUUUGAUUUCGUUCUCCAGAUAUUUGUUGAAGUAUUCGAAUUUUUGUUAAAUGAAUAUGGACAAAAAGAAACCAACCCUUGUUAGAACCUUCUAAUUUCGUUUCAAUUGACAAUGUGAUUUUUGUAUAUGUAUGUAAAACGGCAAUCUAUCGUAUAAUUAAUUAUGCAAUACAACGAGCAGAAUAAGUUUUGUAGAAGGAAACCUUAGUGCAGUGAGCUUAGGCUUCAUUUGUUGUCUUCCCCCCACCCAACACUAAUUGUGUGUAGUUUCUGUUGAGUUAUUAUUUAGUACGAGUAAUUAGGCAUACGUUCUAAACCCAAAUAUGUCCACACACACACAACCACAGGCAGAGGUAGAGAAAGAGAAGAGCGGCGGGCAUGGGAUCCAAUUCAGAUGUGACUCUUCAGGUGCCAUAAAAUCAAACAAUAGUCAAAACAAAAAGAAAAGUUAAUAACUGAAAAACAGUAUCUGAAACAACACUAAACUAUCCCUAACAAAACUCCAACCCCCAACCCACUGUGUGGAUAUAGAUGACAAAUUUAGUUUCAUAUCAAAUUUUUCCAAUGUACCGUCAAAGCAUUUAUGAUUGUUAUUAAUCUUAUAGAGAGAAGGAUGGAAAUAUCGCAGAAAAUUAACUCUAGUUUAGUCGUUUCAACCCCUUUGCAAGUAUCUACUCAUUAUUUAAUACUACUUAGUGUUUAGCCAAUUAAGUUGAGAGAGAGAGAGAGAGAGAGAGAGAGGGAGAAGCAGAGAAAGUGCGCUCGGGCAUACGAUUUGUUUUCACUGUUUGUAGGCUUACAGCAGAAUUAUCAAUUAUGUUUGCAUAUUAUUAUUUAAUGAUUUCCAAAAUAAAACAAAAACACAAUUAUAUAUUUAUGAUUUGCCUUUUCAGUUUUUCUCCCCACCCAAUGUAUAGUUUGAAGGACAUUUUUUGGCAUUGAACACACGACAAUUUUUCGGCUUGGACAGGCGUCUGGUUUUUGUGAUACGAGUGGGGCUCCGUUAUGGCAAAAUGUUUCGGCAAACAAUGGGUUAAUGUGAAAUUGUACAUAGAAACGUUUCGAUAAAAAACAAAACAAAAACAAAAACAAAAACAAAAUUGAAAUUAAUUACGCACAAAAGUUUUAUAAAAUAGUUUGAGCAACAAUUGUUUGGCAUUGUAAGAGUUUUUAUGAACAUUAUGAACCCACUGCGGUUACGAUAAAGUUAGUCCAAAUUUUUAAACACCCCUUUAGGCACAUUGAAAACUCGAAAUCAAAAUUUGAAAGUAACACAAAGAAAAUAUUUGCAUGUUUUGGCACACAAUGGCAAAAAUAACAUCCAAAAAUUGAUGCGGUACGGUGCGAAGCCCGUGAUGUGGCGGCUUUUAUUGGAAUUACGACUAGACCAAAAGGGAAUUGGUCCGGACGAUCGCAACGGUCGGAAGGAUCAGGCAGCAUGAUUUGCUAUAAGAAAUACGAAACAAAUUUAACACUAAGCUAAAGCUCUACUCUAGCAUACUUUUAGGCCUUUUUAGACAAAAUUUUAAACAACAAUUCUUUCGGCUUUAAACGGAAAUCGAAAAUUGAAAAUUGAACGACGAACACAACAAAACAAAACACACACACAAAACACACACAAAAACCUUUUGGCUUUAAAUCAAAAUUAUGUUUAGUUCUUAGUUAAAGAAACUAAAAUGGAAUGAAACGAAAGAAAUUGAUGGGGAAAAUGUUUAUAUCAAAGUAAAUUAUGGCAAAUUAUGCUAUAAUUCCAAUAAAAGCAAAUAUUUAGACUGAAUGUCGCUGUGAUAAAUGCAAAGAAAAAACAAAAUGAAACGAAACGAAAACGAAAACCAAAAACCAAAACUAAAACAUAAAACUUUUGUACAUUUUUAGGCAUAAAAACAAAAUUUAAAGCAUACACUUAAUCAAAAAAACAAAACAAAAACCAAAAAAAAAACAUACUUUAGGCGCUAUAAAUUCUAGCAUAAAGACUAACCACAAAAUUUAUGAAACGCUCCACAAAAAAGAAAAGACUUUCCAUUUGAUUUCACAUUUUUCUUUAAUUUUAGUUUUAGUUUUUUAACAUUUUCCGUUUUCAUGUUCUAUUGAAGGAUCGGAUCGUUUUCGUAGUUGCAAACAAAAUUCAGAGAGAGGGGAGAGAGAAGAGUACGAAGAAAGCUCCAAGAAAAUGUGCAAACCAGAUGCUUCAGUGAAACCCAGGGACAAGGGAGAGAGAGAGAGAGAGAGCGGCUUCAGCUGAGGCGCAAGAGAGAAUACAGAAGAGCCCAAGAGCACACACCGGCCAUGACAUAACUAUAAUCGGGGUAUACAAGUACGCCCUGACACAAAGCAAAGCCUAGACAGACAAAGGGGCUAACCACCAGACGAAACCUAAAAUAUAAAAUAAUAAACCAGAACAGAACCAUACCAUAGGAGAGCCUUGACAGAUAGUUGGGGCAGAAAUACAUAUAGAAAACGAGCAGCAGCAACCCCUGCUCAGCGAUGGGAGGAAAGAUGAGAGACAGCAACAGAAACAAAGCAUUACAAGCAUACCUAACAACCAAACAAUAGCCCAAUUUAAAUAACCAAGAGUACAAAUACAAGUAAUUUUUAUAGCAGAAAUUUUAAUUGCAGUCUCAAAAAGCCAUAAUAAUUAAACAUAAGCAAACAAAUGUACUAUAAAAGCGAACAAACCACAAGCACACACCACACAAGCAACAAAGCAAAAGGCAUGAAUAUGAAUAGGAAACAUAAAAAACAAAAACUUUGAACAACACCAAAAUCAAGAAUGAACCAAAAUCAGAUGGGGAAAAACAAAAGCGAAAACUCGCAGCUCGAAAGCUCCAAACCAACUUGACAAACUCCAAAGAAAAACCACAAAGAAAAAUCCUUUCUUCUUAAAAAUUAAUAUAGUGAGAAAUUAUAAUAACAAAAGAAUAUAAUGAAUGUCAUGAUAAAAGAAAAGAUUAAGAAAGUGAAAGAAAGUUUCAGCAUAAUAACAAAUUAAUACACUUCCGGCUUACACUUCAGAUACAGUUACAGAUCCAAAUCCAGACAAGAAAUUCAUAUUAAAUGCCGAACAAAACAUACAAAAAAACAACAACAAAGAAUCAACAAACAAACUCCAAGGGGGACAAAGGGUGUGGCACGUGCCACAUCGCACAGAACCUGACGAGCGAAAUGCAUUAUAAUUGAGUACAGCCGCUUUCUGCAAUAGUGAUAAUAGUUUUUAAGUCAACCACCAAGCGUCAAAGCAAACCAUCAAACAACAAACAAACAAACAAACAAAUAAAUAAAACAAGCAACAAUUCGAGAGAGAAAAUCAAGUGAGGGAAUGAAACGGAUAGGAAAUAGGAGCAACGGUAAGCAUAAUACUAACGAUAAUGACAAUGAUAAUACCGCAUAAUGAUAAAACCAUAAUAUUAUAAAGCGAGAGAAUGCCCAUUGAACAGCUGUUUGAUUUGAUUUCAAAUUGGAAAGCAGAAACAGAGAAACGCAGGCAGCAGGCAGCAGGGAGACACAAGAUGCAUUUAAUUCAAAGUCUCCAAAACGAUUUUUAGUUGAAUUCGCAAAAUAUCAAACAAAUAAAAGAUGGAACGAAUACCAAAACGCAAAGGGGAACUACAAAUAUUUGAAUGGAAUAUUUGAAUCGCUCCCAGUACUUACACUCUAAAUAAAGCAAACAAAACCCAAAAAGCAAAACGCAAAAGCAAAAGCAAAAGCAAAACAAAUAUAGCAUUUAGUGCAUAUGUGGAAGAAAAACCCUAAACUCUUAUAUUAUAUUGUAUGGUGUAUUAUAUUUUUUAACGUAUUUAAUGCAUACUCUCUAUAUAUACGAUAUAUCUACUUAUAUUUGAAGUAACCUUCAACAGUUCGUGCAGCCGUGGGAAUAGGAAGAAUUGAACAGACCCGCAGUCUAUCCCCCAAAAUAUUACUGAAUAUCAGUUGUAAAAUAGCCCGAAGAAGAUAGUAUAAUAAUCUGUUGCCAUUCGAAAGAUGGAAGCGAAAAUCCGAAACAACAAUAGCCUCGUUAGUUUAUAACUCAGAUGAUCAAAGUUGAUGAAAUAUCAGUGAAAUAUCUCUAUACAAAAUAUUG
Molecule: long non-coding RNA, 4486 nt
Organism: Drosophila subobscura
Lineage: Eukaryota; Metazoa; Arthropoda; Insecta; Diptera; Drosophilidae
Exons: 2
Source: RefSeq, a predicted model, not a curated record